GUUCUGAGUCUUCAAGUGACACUGAUUUUGGAGGACACCACAGUAUCUAGCGUUGAGCACUUGGUCCCUAAUUGGUGACAGCGCAUGGCAAGGUUCAGGAGGAAAGGCAUCACUGGGGACAGGCCUUAAGGCCUCCAGCCACGCCAAGUUUGAUCUCUGUACUUCCUGCCUGUGUGAGCCCUCAGCUUGCUGCUCCAGCCGCCAAGCCUGCUGCUGCCGCCAUGGUUCCAGUCCCCUGAUGGUGACGGACUCCUGUCCUUCUGGAACUGUAAGCCCAAACAAGCCCUUCCUUCCGUAAGCCGCCUUGGUCAUUGCGCUCUUAUCCCAGCAAGAGAAAAGUAACUAAUGCAUGAGGAAACCAUGUAGAGGGGGUUUCCAGGAUGCAUACAGGGCCCUUGAAGCCCUCUGAGGAACCCUGACUCACUGAGUCUCAUUACCAUUUGCUAUUUAGAGUUUGCUGAAACCAUACAGCAAUAUCACCCUUGUUUUCUUCAGACGCCUAAUAUGAAAAUCAGCUUUAGAAAGAGAAAAGGAGUCCAGCAAGGAAACUUCAGAAAAUCUGGAGAGACUGGAGGAAUUCAUACCCUGUAUGUAAAAGAGGGCGGACUUCCUCAGUUUUCCUGCUGGAAUGUUUUACUUCCCAGUGGGCCAAGUUGGUUGACUGUGUGGAUUUGGAGCCCAGUGAACACAUGCCAUUAGCACCAGUGAGUGACAUCACAAGACACCUCUCCCUGCUUUACUCAGAAAACCGCAUACACGUGUGAAACACAACCAUGAAUGAAUGUAACUACGAGGACGAAAGACAGAACCACUGGGUGCUGCAGGAUGGAUCGCACUCAGGGCGAGGCCUGCCGGGAGCCCGUGGGUGGACUCCCCCAGUCCUGUGAUCUAACAAACCACAGACUAGGCUGGGGAACCACCAGAUUGGUGAAGAGGACUGAAUUCAUAACGGCGACCAGAGUGGAAGCCGCUACAAUGCUUAACGUUCACCAGAAAUCCGCAGCACCCAUGACGAGGCAAGCGUGGAAUAAAUACUGGUGAUCAACAAACAGCAAUGAUCAAUGCUGCCCAGCAGGAAGUCAGUGUGCAACAGAGACGAAGGACCCACAGAGAGAGGCAUGUCCACGAAGACCUGUGGGGUGGAAGCUGGGCUCCAACUCCAGGGAAAUGUCCUGGCACAGUAACCUACCCCAGGGGCUGGAGCCCGAGAGCAGAUGCCGAUGUGUGCAGUUAGAAGAACAAUUAGACUGUUCUUCACACACAGCGCUAAGGAAACGGGCGCUGCGGAGAUGCCACAGCCACCUCUCUUUGCUUUUUACUCUGUGUCUUUAGUGUGCACAGGGUGACGUCUGGACACACACGCAGAGGCAAGCGGAGUGAUUACUGAGCCGAGCAAGUUAAUCUCCUCGCCUUCAUUUCCUCCUCCCCCUAUUAGUCACUUUUCUGUGGCUGUGACAAAGCAACUUUGGCCCUACAGUUGCAGAGGACUCGAGUCCACCGUGGUGGGGAAGGGCUGGGCGUGCUUGCCGGAGCAAGAAGCUGGUUGGCUAUGGUUCCAUUUACACAGAAGCGGAGAAGAGGGAACAGGAAAUGGGUGAGGCUGAUAACAGCCGCAGCCUGCUCCAGUAAUGCCCUUCCUCCAGCAAGGCCCCGCCUCCCAGAGGUGACACUCCCUCCUCAAGCAGCACCAACAACUGAAGACGAAGUGGUCAAAUACACGCAAAUACACGAGCCAAUGGGGGACAGUUCUCACUGAAACCACCCUGUCUAUCGCCUGACCUCUAUGGGUCCCUAGUAAUACCGCAGGGGUCCAGGACACGCACCCCCCUCUUCUGUCCCAUGGAAAAGGCCAUCAAUGCAGCAUAGAAAAGCUCCUGUCAAAGGGACAAGGAUGAUCUCAUCAACUACCCUGUGUUGGGCACCUUGAUCAGGCACCGUGCCAAGUCCUCAGUUGCACAUCUGCCAUGGACUGCAGGUUCAUCUCCCCCAAGCUCAUAGGUUGAAGCCCCUAAGAUCCAGGGUGAUGGUGUGAGGGGAGAAGGCCUUGGGGAGAUAAUUGUGGCUGGUGAGGUCCUGAGGUUGGAGUCACCACGAUGAGACUGAUGUCAUCCUGAGAGAAAGAGACACCCGCGCUUCUUCUGUGUAAAGAGAUAGCCUCUGCAAGCUCGCAAGGAGCCUUGGGUGGAGCUCAGCCAUGCUAGCACUCUGACUCUGGAUUCCAGAGCCUCCGAAACUGAGAGAUGGAGCUGUUGUCUAAGUCAGGGCUUCCCGGACCUCUUCUAUCCCUGGUGUCUUUGUGUCUGACAAAUCUUCGGGUGACUUCAAGCCAUAGCUAUACGGAACGUGACUAUCAAACGCCCACUGGCAAUAAACAAUAAAGAAAUUUAUCUCACACCAA
Long non-coding RNA from Mesocricetus auratus (golden hamster), 2398 nucleotides. RefSeq lists it as uncharacterized. The transcript has 3 exons. The record is from RefSeq and is a predicted model, not a curated record. NCBI's taxonomy places the organism in Eukaryota, Metazoa, Chordata, Mammalia, Rodentia, Cricetidae.